This is a long non-coding RNA of Pelodiscus sinensis (Chinese soft-shelled turtle), 435 nucleotides long. RefSeq lists it as uncharacterized. Lineage: Eukaryota; Metazoa; Chordata; Testudines; Trionychidae. The record is from RefSeq and is a predicted model, not a curated record.
GUGUAGACAUACCCUCAUGCUGAUGCUGCUCUGAAGUUAUGCUCCAGAAGGUUCUGGGUUCAAAUCUACUGAGUGGUAGUUACACAAGUCUCCAAAACGUGCCUCUUAGGAAGAAUAGCUCUGUCUGUUGGUUUAUUUGUGCCGUGCGCAGUGUGGUGACAGGGGAGGCCUUUAUAGGGUUGUAAAAUCCAUCCUGGAACGUUAUCCUGGUUUCUCUUGGAAUCAAAAGGAAUCUCUGGAGCUGAUUCAGAAGCCUGCUUUGCUAGGAGCAGUCCUAUCAUGUUCAAGGUCACGAAGAGCCUCUGGGUCUCCGUUUGAUGAACCUCUCCCCGGCUUCUCAGCCGGCCUCACCGCAGCGAUGCUGAAACCAGAGCGAGGUGUGUUGUGAGCAAGACACAAGAAGUCAUUUUCCCGCUCUACUCUGCACUGGUAAGG